UACGUAUGUCGCAAGCGUUAUCCGGAUUUAUUGGGCGUAAAGCGCGUCUAGGCGGUUUGGUAAGUCUGAUGUGAAAAUGCGGGGCUCAACUCCGUAUUGCGUUGGAAACUGUCAAACUAGAGUACUGGAGAGGUGGGCGGAACUACAAGUGUAGAGGUGAAAUUCGUAGAUAUUUGUAGGAAUGCCGAUGGCGAAGGCAGCCCACUGGACAGAUACUGACGCUAAAGCGCGAAAGCGUGGGUAGCAAACAGG
This 252-nucleotide ribosomal RNA is filed under the name uncultured bacterium. Its description in RNAcentral is "partial 16S ribosomal RNA". It matches the Rfam family "Bacterial small subunit ribosomal RNA", at positions 524 to 776 of the family's 1533-position model. The record is from RNAcentral.